GCCAUCUGCCCUGCGCAGCGGCUGCUCGUGUUCCCCGUGGUGUAAGAGCCUUUUAGUAGCACAACAGCAGUUUUCCUCAAGUCCUACUCGUGGAGAGCCCAGGGCAGGGCUGGGCGCUCACCCGCAUCCCCUGGGGCUAGAUCAGCACGGGGAGGCCAAUCAGCGGGAGCUGCAAGGGCUCUGCAGAACCGCCUGACAGAGGAAGUGGAGAGGAGUCUGUCGAGUCAAACUGAUGCAGAAAAAGCGAGAAGAACUGGAGUACUAACCUAAAUUGUGGAGUUCCUACAAAAACUACCACAAAUAGCCGAACCCAUAAUUUUUCCAUGUUACCCAAAAUCAUUAAAUUGCAACAACAGCUCAUCUAGCUGGAGUCAAGUCAACAGUAAUAGCUGUUGGGACAAGAAAAAGAAACCCAGUGGAAAAUUCUCUGACAGCUGCUUCUGAAUAUUUGAGAUCUACUCAGCUGAACGCGUGAGCUGAGCAAAGGCCUUUUGAAAAUUUGAACAUUCAAAAUGAAAUUGUUGAAUUAUUGGAGGCAUAGUCUUUGACUAGCUCUACUUCCAGGAGUAGACCCAUGUAACCUGUGAAAAGUGAAUAGUAACUCUUGAUUUUAUGUAAAAAUUACAAAAGGGGGAUUUUGUUAUUAUAAUAAUGAUUAUUAGUUAAUGUGAUAAAUGCACCUAAAAAGAGUCUGAUUUGACCCAAUACUUAAAAUAAAUCAAGUUAUGAAAUUUCUACUUGC
Molecule: long non-coding RNA, 742 nt
Organism: Pygoscelis adeliae (Adelie penguin)
Lineage: Eukaryota; Metazoa; Chordata; Aves; Sphenisciformes; Spheniscidae
Exons: 2
Source: RefSeq, a predicted model, not a curated record